CUUCAUGCCCCUCUCCUUGAGAAGUGUCCGAUUAGGGAGGUGGUUCCAGGCAAGUUUAAAAAGAAAAAUUCGCACCCUAGGAUGAGCGGCAACUCUCCAAAUCCAAACAGCCUCAAUCUAUUUGGAAGGCAUCGGACUGUACAAAAGGGAGAAGUCCCUCAAGAGAACCCUCAAGUAGCAAGAACAUCUCCAGACCCUCGUAUCCUGAGUGGAGACAUCGAAAUCGGGAUGGCAAGAUCCACUCUACAAGUAGCUGCCCAA
RNAcentral lists this long non-coding RNA (261 nucleotides) under Elaeis guineensis (African oil palm). RNAcentral describes it as "long non-coding RNA (EGUI_LNC021757)". The record is from RNAcentral. Lineage: Eukaryota; Viridiplantae; Streptophyta; Magnoliopsida; Arecales; Arecaceae.